Molecule: transfer RNA, 76 nt
Filed under: Rhizobium bangladeshense
Lineage: Bacteria; Pseudomonadati; Pseudomonadota; Alphaproteobacteria; Hyphomicrobiales; Rhizobiaceae
Description: tRNA-Arg
Source: RNAcentral
GAUGGCCUGCACUCUAGGGGUCUGCAUCAGAUUCCUAAUCUGGGGGUCGCGCGUUCGAAUCGCGCCGGGAUCACCA